Molecule: long non-coding RNA, 430 nt
Organism: Biomphalaria glabrata
Lineage: Eukaryota; Metazoa; Mollusca; Gastropoda; Planorbidae
Exons: 3
Source: RefSeq, a predicted model, not a curated record
GGCUUUAGUCCCGUCUGCCCUUUCUUAAGUCCGGCCCUUUGUUUGCUUAUUUUUGUUUUUACGAAAUUUUGUUUCAUUACUAGAUCUAGAUCUACAUUCUAGUCUUCAAAUAUUUUAAUUUACCGUGUUUACAGUUUAAAUAGUAACUAUUCAGGCUAAUCUAGAAUCUAGAUUCAGCAGAUUGAUUUGGGUUGAUAGAUCUAGAGAGUCUAGAUCUAUCUCAUCUAGAUCUAGAUUUCUUGAGAAACACUGUUGAGUUAUGGCCACGAAUGGCAUGAAAGUUAAAAUUAAAACUGGACAGGAGUAGCAACGUGGAAAUGGAUAGCAAAUGAUGAUAACUGUGGAAUAUGUCGAAUGGCUUUUGAUGGCUGUUGCCCAGAUUGUAAAUUACCAGGAGAUGAAUGCCCUUUGGUUUGGGGUCAGUGCUCCC